Long non-coding RNA from Aptenodytes forsteri (emperor penguin), 937 nucleotides. RefSeq lists it as uncharacterized. The record is from RefSeq and is a predicted model, not a curated record. Lineage: Eukaryota; Metazoa; Chordata; Aves; Sphenisciformes; Spheniscidae. The transcript is spliced from 2 exons.
GCUUGCUAAUAGUGCGAAGUUUGUUACUGUGGCGAUCCUCUGUAAAAUGAUUCUCUAACGAGCGGCAGCUCCACAGAAACACAGCCUGUUCUGUUAAUCACCCUGAUCUGCCCAGGAGAACCAGCCCAAGGACUCUUCUCUCUUACGGAGCGCUGCUGGUUCCCACACAGCUGUGCACAGACGUUGCCGGAUCCGUCCACCCGCCAGCCAUCCCCUGCCUCGCAGCGUCUCCGCUACCAGAAAUGAAAGGCGAUUCACUGAGAACACAAGUUUCGCUCAGCUUCUGCUUUAUGCGUGCAGAAAAAAAGUCACCCUCUCGAUGAGCUGAACGUGCCGUUGGGAGCAGUUGGGCAAUAGCUGCAGGACGGGUAAGCAGAGGACUGUCUAUCGGGAAGUUUACAUUCUGGUGACAAUAUAUGUUCACACAGGAAAUUGGAACAUUAUCUGUUCGUUGAAGAAGAGAACACCUGCUCACUACCUUUCAUGAGAUGGUUGGUGGUAGGUGUUCAUCCUGUCUGGAGGGUAUUCUUAAGCGCAGCUAUUCCCCUCGUACAUACAGCUCCAUGUUCUCUUGACGCGAACGCUUGAUGCUGCUUUUCCUUGAACUCUGGCUCCUGCGUGGCAGUUCUUGGGAGCGUGUCCAAGACAAACUAAAUCUCAAGACCGUACAUAAUUUAUAUUAGAACAUGGCACCAUUACAUCACAGUGCAAGCAAUGGUGUUCUGUUGAUAUCACUACGCAAAGUUACAUUGUACGGAAAUGUCGGGAUCCAUAGCACUACAUCAAUUGACAAAACAGAGACGUAAGUUCGGACAUUGUACCGUGAUGAUUCCUGUAUUAGUAGAUCCUGUGAGCCUCUAAGCCCUUCACUGGGGGCCUCCUCUGGCAAAGUCCUUCCAGUACAGAAAAGGAAGAAAAAUACACCUUUUGUAACUUG